CAGCCGCCGCGGGAAUACGUAGGGCGCAAGCGUUGUCCGGAAUUAUUGGGCGUAAAGAGCUCGUAGGCGGUCUGUCGCGUCUGGUGUGAAAUCCCGAGGCUCAACCUCGGGCUUGCAUCGGGUACGGGCAGACUAGAGUGCGGUAGGGGAGACUGGAAUUCCUGGUGUAGCGGUGGAAUGCGCAGAUAUCAGGAGGAACACCGAUGGCGAAGGCAGGUCUCUGGGCCGCAACUGACGCUGAGGAGCGAAAGCAUGGGGAGCGAACAGGAUUAGAGACCCCAGUAGUCCCUGUCUCUUAUAC
RNAcentral lists this ribosomal RNA (301 nucleotides) under uncultured bacterium. RNAcentral's name for it is "partial 16S ribosomal RNA". It matches the Rfam family "Bacterial small subunit ribosomal RNA", at positions 509 to 807 of the family's 1533-position model. The record is from RNAcentral.